This 489-nucleotide ribosomal RNA is filed under the name uncultured bacterium. Its description in RNAcentral is "bacterial SSU rRNA". It matches the Rfam family "Bacterial small subunit ribosomal RNA", at positions 791 to 1285 of the family's 1533-position model. The record is from RNAcentral.
UAGUCCACGCCGUAAACGAUGUCAACUAGCUGUUGGGAUUUAUCUUAGUAGCGAAGCUAACGCGAUAAGUUGACCGCCUGGGGAGUACGCGCGCAAGCGUAAAACUCAAAGGAAUUGACGGGGGCCCGCACAAGCGGUGGAGCAUGUGGUUUAAUUCGAUGCAACGCGAAGAACCUUACCAGGCCUUGACAUCCUGAGAACUUUCUAGAGAUAGAUUGGUGCCUUCGGGAAUUCAGUGACAGGUGCUGCAUGGCUGUCGUCAGCUCAUGCCGUGAGGUGUCAGGUUAAGUCCUAUAACGAGCGCAACCCUUGUCGUUAGUUGCCAGCAUGUAAAGAUGGGGACUCUAACGAGACUGCCGGUGCAAACCGAGAGGAAGGUGGGGAUGACGUCAAAUCAUCACGGCCCUUACGUCCUGGGCCACACACGUGCUACAAUGGUAUGGACAAUGAGCAGCCAUCUGGCAACAGAGAGCAAAUCUAUAAACCAUA